RNAcentral lists this long non-coding RNA (747 nucleotides) under Bos taurus (domestic cattle). RNAcentral's name for it is "long non-coding RNA NONBTAT019675". The record is from RNAcentral. Lineage: Eukaryota; Metazoa; Chordata; Mammalia; Artiodactyla; Bovidae.
CUCCUGUAAACCUAACCCUUGAAGUAUGAGCCACCCCCUUUUGCCCUCAAGGAUGAGGAAAAUGGAAAUUAAUAGUUCCUCACACCAAAGUCUGGAUUCAACCAUAUUUUACACCAGAGAGGGGGAUGAGGUUUUUUUAUGCUGUGUGACCAGGUAGACUUCUGGAGAACCACUUAAGAGCAAAGCAAGACAAUCUACUUCAUUUUAUCGGCUACGUAUCUAAAAGGUCACAUCCUGAAGAGUUUUGAGUCACAAGAAGAAAACAGGUAUUUUCACAAGAACUGAUCAAUUGGGGGGUAUUUUCAACUAUUUCUGGGUUUUUCUUUCAAAUAUUAUAUCUCAUUCCCAGGAAAUUAAAGCAUAUGCUAUCAAAGACUUGUCAAAGAUGCCAACUAAUUCAAAAUGAAUGACUAAACCUCAAAGAACUUACUAGGCAGGGACCAUUUUAAAUUCCUGAAAGCCAGCAAGGUUAACCAGUAUCAAGGAAUAAAUUGGUCUAUCAUACACCAUUCUUACUGCUCUGAAGAAAACUCAAGCACUUUCACAUUGAAUCCCCUGUUAUCCUGCCUAGCAACUACCCAUCAAUUUCAUGAAAAGGCACCCAUCUAUAAAUUUAAUACCUGCUUACCUCUUCUUCCUCCCAAAACUCCAGUAAAAAAGGCAGAAUAAAAGUUAUAGAGCCAUAAUAAUAAACAUAGGAGGUAACAAUACUGAGCAAGAUUUCAGCAAAUGUAUUGAAUAUAGGAA